GACGAACGCUGGCGGCGUGCUUAACACAUGCAAGUCGAACGGAAAGGCCCUGCUUUUGUGGGGUGCUCGAGUGGCGAACGGGUGAGUAACACGUGAGUAACCUGCCCUUGACUUUGGGAUAACUUCAGGAAACUGGGGCUAAUACCGGAUAGGAGCUCCUGCUGCAUGGUGGGGGUUGGAAAGUUUCGGCGGUUGGGGAUGGACUCGCGGCUUAUCAGCUUGUUGGUGGGGUAGUGGCUUACCAAGGCUUUGACGGGUAGCCGGCCUGAGAGGGUGACCGGCCACCUUGGGACUGAGAUACGGCCCAGACUCCUACGGGAGGCAGCAGUGGGGAAUAUUGCUCAAUGGGCGGAAGCCUGAUGCAGCAACGCCGCGUGCGGGAUGACGGCCUUCGGGUUGUAAACCGCUUUCGCCUGUGACGAAGCGUGAGUGACUGUAAUGGGUAAAGAAGCACCGGCUAACUACGUG
Molecule: ribosomal RNA, 468 nt
Filed under: uncultured bacterium
Lineage: Bacteria
Description: partial 16S ribosomal RNA
Rfam family: Bacterial small subunit ribosomal RNA
Source: RNAcentral